AUGCUAGGGGCGCAAUAUUGUAUAUCCAAUAUUCAAUAACGCUGAGAAUGUACCCUUAUUACUUGAACCGGAUAAUACCGGCGUAAGGAAGCACUAUUGU
RNAcentral lists this non-coding RNA (100 nucleotides) under bovine gut metagenome. RNAcentral describes it as "TPP riboswitch (THI element)". It matches the Rfam family "TPP riboswitch aptamer (THI element)", at positions 7 to 92 of the family's 105-position model. From Rfam's summary of the family: Vitamin B(1) in its active form thiamin pyrophosphate (TPP) is an essential coenzyme that is synthesised by coupling of pyrimidine and thiazole moieties in bacteria. The previously detected thiamin-regulatory element, thi box was extended, resulting in a new, highly conserved RNA secondary structure, the THI element, which is widely distributed in eubacteria and also occurs in some archaea. The record is from RNAcentral.